This is a non-coding RNA of Cygnus atratus (black swan), 578 nucleotides long. The record is from the annotation of a RefSeq genome assembly. NCBI's taxonomy places the organism in Eukaryota, Metazoa, Chordata, Aves, Anseriformes, Anatidae.
GCGCCGCGGGCGGAGCAGAGCCGGGGCUGGCGGGGGCAGCGCGGCGCGGGCGGCGGAGCGGCGGGAUGCGGCAGGGCCGGGCCGCAGGGCUGGCGGGGCUGGCCGCGGUGCUCCUGGUGGCUGCAGGCAGAGCCCAGGUGCAGCAGGAGCCACGGGCAGAGACCAGAGAUGGCACCGGCAUCAACAUCACCUGCUCACACCCCAACAUCCAGUCAAACGAGUACAUCUAUUGGUACCGUCAGCUCCCAGGCCGAGGCCCCGCAUUCCUCGUGAGGGCUUAUAGUGGGUCCCAAGAUGUGACGGACCUGGCAGGGCGGCUAUCGGUGGCAGCAGACCGCCGGUCCAGCGCCCUGUUGCUCGCCCAGCCCCGGCUUCGGGACGCGGCGGUGUAUUACUGCGCCCUGAGAGCCACGGGGAGAGGAGCCGGGGCUGCGGCCGGGCAGGAACCGUGGCGGGCGGGGCCGGGCGUGUGUGGCGGGGGCGAGGCAGGGGCACAGCCCCCAGGGGGCGCUGCCGCUCCGCCCGCCGGGACCACGUCGCCCCGCAGCCCCGGGGGGCACCCGCCAGCCCGGCCCUGA